RNAcentral lists this ribosomal RNA (390 nucleotides) under uncultured bacterium. RNAcentral's name for it is "bacterial SSU rRNA". It matches the Rfam family "Bacterial small subunit ribosomal RNA", at positions 28 to 419 of the family's 1533-position model. The record is from RNAcentral.
GACGAACGCUGGCGGCGUGCUUAACACAUGCAAGUCGAGCGGUAAGGCCCUUUCGGGGGUACACGAGCGGCGAACGGGUGAGUAACACGUGGGUGACCUGCCCUCAGCUCUGGGAUAAGCCUGGGAAACUGGGUCUAAUACCGGAUAUGACUCCAUGACGCAUGUUGUGGGGUGGAAAGCCUUGUGCGGCUGAGGAUGGGCCCGCGGCCUAUCAGCUUGUUGGUGGGGUGANGGCCUACCAAGGCGACGACGGGUAGCCGGCCUGAGAGGGCGACCGGCCACACUGGGACUGAGACACGGCCCAGACUUCUACGGGAGGCAGCAGUGGGGAAUCUUGCGCAAUGGGCGAAAGCCUGACGCAGCGACGCCGCGUGAGGGAUGACGGCCUGG